RNAcentral lists this transfer RNA (85 nucleotides) under Bacillota bacterium. RNAcentral's name for it is "tRNA-Tyr". It matches the Rfam family "tRNA". From Rfam's summary of the family: Transfer RNA (tRNA) molecules are approximately 80 nucleotides in length. Their secondary structure includes four short double-helical elements and three loops (D, anti-codon, and T loops). Further hydrogen bonds mediate the characteristic L-shaped molecular structure. tRNAs have two regions of fundamental functional importance: the anti-codon, which is responsible for specific mRNA codon recognition, and the 3' end, to which the tRNAs corresponding amino acid is attached (by aminoacyl-tRNA synthetases). tRNAs cope with the degeneracy of the genetic code in two manners: having more than one tRNA (with a specific anti-codon) for a particular amino acid; and 'wobble' base-pairing, i.e. permitting non-standard base-pairing at the 3rd anti-codon position. The record is from RNAcentral. Lineage: Bacteria; Bacillati; Bacillota. RNAcentral also lists the same sequence under 2 other names.
GGGAGCGUUCCCGAGCGGCCAAAGGGGGCAGACUGUAAAUCUGUUGUCUAUGACUUCAGUGGUCCGAAUCCACUCGCUCCCACCA